UGGGGAAUAUUGGACAAUGGGGGAAACCCUGAUCCAGCCAUGCCGCGUGAGUGAAGAAGGCCUUCGGGUUGUAAAGCUCUUUCGACGGGGAAGAUGAUGACGGUACCCGUAUAAGAAGCCCCGGCUAACUUCGUGCCAGCAGCCGCGGUAAUACGAAGGGGGCUAGCGUUGUUCGGAAUUACUGGGCGUAAAGCGCGCGUAGGCGGUGAUCUUUGUCAGAGGUGAAAGCCCGGGGCUCAACUCCGGAAUUGCCUUUGAAACGGGAUCGCUAGAGUCCGAGAGAGGAUGGCGGAAUUCCUAGUGUAGAGGUGAAAUUCGUAGAUAUUAGGAAGAACACCGGUGGCGAAGGCGGCCAUCUGGCUCGGUACUGACGCUCAGGCGCGAAAGCGUGGGGAGCAAACAGG
RNAcentral lists this ribosomal RNA (404 nucleotides) under uncultured bacterium. Its description in RNAcentral is "bacterial SSU rRNA". It matches the Rfam family "Bacterial small subunit ribosomal RNA", at positions 355 to 776 of the family's 1533-position model. The record is from RNAcentral.